AGGGUUUGAUUCUGGCUCAGGACGAACGCUGGCGGCGUGCCUAACACAUGCAAGUCGAACGGAGAUACAGGGGCUUGCCCCUGUAUCUUAGUGGCGGACGGGCGAGUAACGCGUGAGGAACCUGCCCUUCAGUGGGGAAUAACGGCUGGAAACGGUCGCUAAUACCGCAUGACACAUUGGUACCGCAUGAUACUGAUGUCAAAGGAGCAAUCCGCUGAAGGAUGGCCUUGCGUCCGAUUAGCUAGUUGGUGGGGUAACGGCCUACCAAGGCGACGAUCGGUAGCCGAACUGAGAGGUUGAUCGGCCGCAUUGGGACUGAGACACGGCCCAG
RNAcentral lists this ribosomal RNA (331 nucleotides) under uncultured bacterium. RNAcentral's name for it is "bacterial SSU rRNA". It matches the Rfam family "Bacterial small subunit ribosomal RNA", at positions 8 to 334 of the family's 1533-position model. The record is from RNAcentral.